CCUACGGGUGGCUGCAGUGGAGGAUAUUUCACAAUGGGGGAAACCCUGAUGCAGCGACGCCGCGUGAGUGAAUAAGUAUUUUGGUAUGUAAAGCUCUAGCAGCAGGGAAGAAAAUGACAGUACUUGACCAAGAAGCGCCGGCUAACUACGUGCCAGCAGCCGCGGUCAUACGUAGGGGGCAAGCGUUAUCCGGAUUUACUGGGUGUAAGGGGAGCGUAGACGGUUAUGUAAGUCUGGAGUGAAAGCCCGGGGCCCAACCCCGGGACUGCUUUGGAAACUGUGUCACUGGAGUACAGGAGGGGCAGCCGGAAUUCCUGGUGUAGCGGUGAAAUGCGUAGAUAUCAGGAGGAACACCGGCGGCGAAGGCGGCCUGCUGGACUGAAACUGACGUUGAGGCUCGAAAGCGUGGGGAGCAAACAGGAUUAGAUACCCUUGUAGUC
This 440-nucleotide ribosomal RNA is filed under the name uncultured bacterium. RNAcentral describes it as "partial 16S ribosomal RNA". It matches the Rfam family "Bacterial small subunit ribosomal RNA", at positions 338 to 795 of the family's 1533-position model. The record is from RNAcentral.